Molecule: long non-coding RNA, 540 nt
Filed under: Sorghum bicolor (sorghum)
Lineage: Eukaryota; Viridiplantae; Streptophyta; Magnoliopsida; Poales; Poaceae
Description: long non-coding RNA (SBIC_LNC010425)
Source: RNAcentral
ACCAUAUUCAGAGACUCCCCAUAAAUUUUGGUGAUUUUUGGAUAUAUCCAUAAAUUAUUAAAAUUCCUAGAAGUUUUAUUCAUUAAAUAAAAGAGGCAAUUUUUAAAUAUAUGCAAACUAUCAGAAAAUAAAAUCUACUAUUUUACCUGUGCUCUACUUAUUUCAUAGAACCUAUACACAAAUUUUCAUCAUUUUUGGAAUAGCACACAAUUUUCUACACAAUUUCAAAAAUCAAGCAUUUGUAAUCAAAAAAAGAAAAAGAAAAAGCAACACUAUGCUGCGCAGGCGGCCCGCUUGGUCACGGCCCAAGUCGGCCCGGGAGCUCUCCCGCGUCGCGCGCGGGCGCUGCCCUCCGCACAUGGCCACUGACGGGCGGGUCCCGCCCGUCAGAGGCUUCUUCUUCCUCCCACCACCGCUCCGGUGAGCUCAGGCUCCGCGCCGGUGAGCUCCCGGCCUCCGCGGUGGGGUGGGCUAGCACCUCCGGCCUCUCGCGCAACCCCUAGGACACACGGGACAACCUCUACUCCCUCCUAACCCUCC